RNAcentral lists this ribosomal RNA (253 nucleotides) under uncultured bacterium. Its description in RNAcentral is "partial 16S ribosomal RNA". It matches the Rfam family "Bacterial small subunit ribosomal RNA", at positions 524 to 776 of the family's 1533-position model. The record is from RNAcentral.
UACGUAGGAGGCGAGCGUUGUCCGGAGUUACUGGGCGUAAAGGGUGCGCAGGCGGCCCGCCGCGUGGGGGGUGAAAUCUCCUCGCUCAACGAGGAGGGGGCUUCCCAGACGGGCGGGCUUGAGCGGCGGAGGGGGGCGCGGAAUUCCGGGUGGAGCGGUGAAAUGCGUAGAGAUCCGGAAGAACACCGACGGCGAAGGCAGCGCCCUGGACGCCGGCUGACGCUCGGGCACGAAAGCGCGGGGAGCGAACAGG